Molecule: ribosomal RNA, 481 nt
Filed under: uncultured bacterium
Lineage: Bacteria
Description: partial 16S ribosomal RNA
Rfam family: Bacterial small subunit ribosomal RNA
Source: RNAcentral
GAUGAACGCUGGCGGCGUGCCUAACACAUGCAAGUCGAACGGAGAUUACGGACGGAAGUUUUCGGAUGGAAGCCUGUAAUUCUUAGUGGCGGACGGGUGAGUAACGCGUGGGCAACCUGCCCUAUACAGGGGGAUAGCAGCUGGAAACGGCUGGUAAGACCGCAUAAGUCGGUUAAAUCGCAUGAUUUGAUCGGGAAAUGAGCAAUCAGGUAUAGGAUGGGCCCGCGUCCGAUUAGCCAGUUGGCAGGGUAAAAGCCUACCAAAGCGACGAUCGGUAGCCGGACUGAGAGGUCGGACGGCCACAUUGGGACUGGGACACGGCCCAAACUCCUACGGGAGGCAGCAGUGGGGGAUAUUGCACAAUGGAGGAAACUCUGAUGCAGCGACGCCGCGUGAGUGAAGAAGUAUUUCGGUAUGUAAAGCUCUAUCGGCAGGGAAGAUGAUGACGGUACCUGACUAAGAAGCCCCGGCUAACUACGUG